UUGUAUAGUAUAUGAUUUUAAUCUAUUUUAAUCUAUAGUAAUGGUAUUUUACCCAUGUCUUAUUUUGGGAUAUUUGUAACUUCUGCUGUCUUUAUUUUAGUAUUCUGGAAUACUAUGGUUUAUUUUGAAAAUGUUGCUCAGAUGUCGCAUGUAUUCCCAUUCUAGAUUGAUAGAUAGAAUUUACGGUAGCGUUCUUUGGCCCGCUGUCCAAAGAACAUAGAAAACAAUACGGAAUGCGAUCAUCUCAUGUGCGGUGGCACCACAAAGUAGAUUGCAGAAGUUAACUCAGCAGCAUGGACGCGUUCCAGGCAGUUACUGCGACCGCAAGGGGGUAAGUAUUACUAAAAAGAAGCACACAAGUUUCAAACUUGCCGAGUGGACAGUGAAGCAGAAAAUAGAUUUGUCAAAAAGUGUGAGGAAAAUAUGCACUGUCUGCCGACUCACAUUUUCCAUAGUCCAUGUGGAACUGACUCACCUUAAGCAACACGGUGGACACGAACGAAAAAACGCACAACUAAGCAAGGGGGAACCUGGACAGAUCCAUCAGGCAACGACAAAGAUGGUACGUAAAUAUUUUUUUAAACCCUCUCAAGGUUAAUAUGAGAAUGUACAAUGGAUGUCUAUCGUAUAGAAAAAGCUAUAUUUGCUUUUGGGUGUAAUAAACGACCAGGUAAAUGGAUAGAUAAUACAUAAAAACCAUUCGUUUGCAUACAUUGAUAAAUAAAAGAUCAACAUUAUGUGGCACUUGCCUCCCCAGAACUUUUGGUUUAUACGAAGUUUUUUUUUUUCUAUGGAAGAAACCCAUGCGCCCAAGUGCAAUAUGUAUUUUCGCCAGUAGAGGACGCUGAAAAUAAAUGUUGCACAGCGGAUGAGCUGUCUUCAUCAUUUCUGUCUGUAACAAUUGCACACACAGCCUUACAUUUGUAACUAGUUUUAGGAGAUGUGCAUAUUUUUUCAUUGGACAUGCAAUGUAAUUCUGUCAACCUUUAAAUAAACUGUUAUUUUAUUUUUAAUGUGGAUAGAGGAUUUAUUUUUGGUGUUUCCGAUUUUACUGCAGAUUAUCCAGACAUCCCCAACGUCAAAGCAGCAGUAUUUUUGUCCUCAGCAUCCUUAUUUUCCACAAAGGUGAAUUGCUUUGAUCAGAGUUCAUUCGCUUUGACCAAAGGCUGCCGACUGAGUCCCAACCCACCCCAACCCACCCCAACCCUCUUUGUCGCUGCUCCACCUUUUGUCUCUGACUUCUUUCACUCACUGUCCAUCUUGUGGUGUUGAUAAGACAAUCUGAUGUGUGGAUAAGACAAUCUGAUGUGUGGAUAAGACAAUCUGACUUGUGGAUAAGACAAUCUGACUUGUGGAUAAGACAAAAACCCUUUUUGGGCUGUGCAUUGAAAUAUAUCCCCUUGCAUCGGGGCCUGACUGUUGAGACUUUAUUACCUGUUGUGUGGAAUCCAAUUGAGAAAAGUGCAAGACACGAGCCAUGCCACGCAAAAGCAAGAAGGCGCAAGCUGCCAAGGUAAGCUGGCAACAGCGUAAAAACAACACAGACUCUGGAAGUGCAGAUAAACCAACAACUGCCAAAGAAUUGAUGGCCAUUGGACCUGAAAACUCUAUGGAGGUAAUGAUGUCUACAUCUCAUGAUCCUGUAACAUGUGUUUUGGCAUCCUACAGUCAAGAUCAUCCAAAGUAUGCUGAUUCCAGAAACAGUCAGUGUGCUGCAAACUCUGCUACAUUUCUAGCUUUUCUGCAGGAGAUAGAGAAUGUGACCAGUGCUCACCUGGACCUUGUUCUCGAUCGAGGCAAUGAGCUCUAUGUGGCUACUGUGGCUGUGCUGAAAGCAGAAGGACGGUACGAACAUCAUCAUUUGGCAACCGAUGAAAUCCCAUCCAUUGUGAAUGGCUUGCACAAACAGCAUGUGUUAAUAAAGUAUCAGUCAAUGUA
Long non-coding RNA from Syngnathus typhle (broad-nosed pipefish), 1938 nucleotides. RefSeq lists it as uncharacterized. Lineage: Eukaryota; Metazoa; Chordata; Actinopteri; Syngnathiformes; Syngnathidae. The record is from RefSeq and is a predicted model, not a curated record. The transcript is spliced from 4 exons.